AAAAUGCAUGUUGAUCAUGCAUUGCAAUAUUUCUGAUGCAUUGGGUUAAAUUAUGUUGUAGAACGGAUGACUUUCUUUCUUUUUCUCUUAAUAUAGAUGCUGUGAGCUUGUAGCUCAUGUUUUCCUGGACACCCUUGUUCUACACUUUCAAAGAAUGGCAACAGCAUGCUCUCCUCUCGUGAACUUGCAGGGGCAGGGGAGGUGGGGGAACUACACCUGGUAAGCUGAAUGUUUGUUUCAUUUUCCUUUGUCUGGAACGUGACCCAAACCCCUCAGGCCAGCUGUUGGUCAGUGUGGCAGUCUGAUGGCAGUCCGGGAUCAGUGAGUACUUGUGACACUUAAUAACUCCCAAGAGACACAGCUGGAAGAGCUAGAAGGCACAGUGAAGAGACCGAUUCUUUAUCCGGACUAUGUGAACUGAGAGAAGCCCCACGAAGUUCAUCUAAACCUACACCAUAGCUUCUGAAGACGCUGUUCACCAUCCCAGACACAAGUGUCAUCCCGUAUUCAUCUUUGUGUGCUGGAGGGAACAGAGAGCGCGGGAGGGCAGAGAGAACACGGAGCUCUCUGUUGCUCCUCACACUGUUCCAUGGGGACUUCUUCCUUGUCUGGGAACCUGAGAUCCAGAGUCCAUGAAGACUUCUGUUCCAGACGGGGAUGAGGAGUACAGAAGAUGGCUUUUGGUGUCCUAGUUAAGAGGUUUAAGGUACCAGAAUUCUGGGAUUAUGGGGGUGCUCCACCAUGCCUGUUUGUUAGCCCAGUUCCUAAAACUUGUCUGGUCUGAGCAGAAGUCUUUGCAGGGAGGACAGAACUAGGAUAUAUAGCUGGCCGUGGCCACAACUCCUGAUGGUGCUAGUGCUGCCCCCGUGGGCCUAUGGGAACCAUUUUCUUUCAAACCACCACAAAAGGCUUUCCAGAAACUUGAAGAGAGCAGUGUCUUGCACUUGUCCCUGUCAUGUCCUUGACCCAAAUACAUACCCCAAGGUCAGCAUCCAGGAUGACAGCUGUGGACAGCGUCUUGGUGUUUGGGGGAAAUGUCUCCAAUUUGUACCUGUGAAAAUGUCUCCAAUUUGUACCUGUUUGCACCUCAGUUCCUCUCUCUUAGC
This is a long non-coding RNA of Mus pahari (shrew mouse), 1106 nucleotides long. RefSeq lists it as uncharacterized. The transcript is spliced from 4 exons. Lineage: Eukaryota; Metazoa; Chordata; Mammalia; Rodentia; Muridae. The record is from RefSeq and is a predicted model, not a curated record.